RNAcentral lists this non-coding RNA (180 nucleotides) under Gulbenkiania mobilis. RNAcentral's name for it is "6S / SsrS RNA". It matches the Rfam family "6S / SsrS RNA". Rfam says of the family: E. coli 6S RNA was the first non coding RNA to be sequenced, but its function was unknown until recently. The record is from RNAcentral. Lineage: Bacteria; Pseudomonadati; Pseudomonadota; Betaproteobacteria; Neisseriales; Chromobacteriaceae.
AUCCCCCUGCGGUGUACGUGAUGGCACAUAAUUCCUUUGAACCAAUGCGUUCGCUUGGUUGCUAGCAUCUGCUGCGCAGGUGCGUCGCGUCCUCCGGGAUGCGCCCGAAGCGCGAGGCCGGCGACCCCCUGGAAACAGGGUUCAAGCGGAUUACGCCAGAACGACACUCGCGGGGGGAUC